RNAcentral lists this ribosomal RNA (253 nucleotides) under uncultured bacterium. Its description in RNAcentral is "partial 16S ribosomal RNA". It matches the Rfam family "Bacterial small subunit ribosomal RNA", at positions 524 to 776 of the family's 1533-position model. The record is from RNAcentral.
UACCGAGGGUGCAAGCGUUAAUCGGAAUUACUGGGCGUAAAGCGUGCGUAGACGGUUAUGUAAGUCGGGCGUGAAAGCCCCGGGCUCAACCUGGGAAUUGCAUUCGAGACUGUGUAGCUAGGGUACGGAAGAGGGAAGCGGAAUUUCAGGUGUAGCGGUGAAAUGCGUAGAUAUCUGAAGGAACACCAGUGGCGAAAGCGGCUUCCUGGUCCAGUACCGACGUUCAGGCACGAAAGCGUGGGGAGCAAACAGG